UAAAACCGAACAUAUCCCCCACCCCUUAUAAACAUCUCAGACAUGUAUACGACCAUCUCUGUAUGUUUAACAGACCAGGAACUCUCUACCCCUCCACCCGAGGCAUGUUAAGUGAUCUGUCUGGUACUGUGUGUGACCAAGUUUGCUUAUAGAGGUCACAUAUCCCUUCAGAGAUGCCAGGACAUUGUUGCUGAUUGACCCAUAAUUAUUAGCUUGACAGUGAUUAACAAGAAGACCGCAUGAAGACUCAGAAAUGUCACCAUUUUGGCUGUAUGAAGAGAGGCAUUCAUGCUGUGUGCUGGGCAGCAUCUCUCUUCUCGUAGAUGGUUGCAGCUUUAAACCGGCUGAAAAUUUGAGAAUGCAACCUUGGGCCCAG
Molecule: long non-coding RNA, 376 nt
Filed under: Mus spicilegus (steppe mouse)
Lineage: Eukaryota; Metazoa; Chordata; Mammalia; Rodentia; Muridae
Description: lncRNA (ENSMSIG00000021225.1)
Source: RNAcentral